Molecule: non-coding RNA, 189 nt
Organism: Desulfobacterales bacterium C00003104
Lineage: Bacteria; Pseudomonadati; Thermodesulfobacteriota; Desulfobacteria; Desulfobacterales
Source: Rfam
UUGCCCCUGCGGUGUUUGUUAUUGUCAGACGUUUUUUUGAGCCAACACUUUAUUGCAUGGGAAGCCUCACUUGCUUUGGUGCGCAUGUUCCUCAGUUGUGGAAAAGCCUUAAGAAGCAACAGGAUUCCCGCCUUGAUGAGCUAAAGGCUCUCAAAAAAAGCUGGCAAAACGGCACAAGGUGGGGGCAAU